Molecule: long non-coding RNA, 1423 nt
Organism: Ictalurus punctatus (channel catfish)
Lineage: Eukaryota; Metazoa; Chordata; Actinopteri; Siluriformes; Ictaluridae
Source: Ensembl
GACCUUCUUCCACCUCCAUACACAGCCAGAAGAGUAAACACUGUGCCUACUUUACUGUACUUUAUUCGCUGCUUGAGAGUCAUGAUGAGAUAAUGACAAAGUGCUUACUGUGUUAUUAUAUUACAUUAUAUCAUUCUCGUUCUACUUUCAACACUUAGCAUUUAGGCUUUGUCAGUACUGAAACUGAUACAGUAAAGCUCUACUGACUUGAGAACGAAUUGAAACUUAGGACAGAAAAGGGAAAGGACAGAGGAAGGAAUGUGAGGAAUCUGAAUCGUCCGUGCUGUAAACGCAUUCUGGCCGAAGAAUUCAAAGAGGCAGCCAAGAAGCAGAAGAAUGGGAGGCUUGGCGCUGUGUUUGGCCUCUCUUUAGCAGCAGGGAGUCGCUAACUGCCUGCGAGGCCUGCUGUCUUCCCCCAGAGUUCAGGCUUUGAAGAGUGCUGUGCAUCACUUAUUCCCUUUCAUGUCUGCACUAUCUUGGGAAGCCACUGCAAGGGAGAUUUCAAAGGGGAGGACCAGAGGAGGGCAAGACUCCAGAGACCGCUCUCGCCCUUCCACUAGGCCUGAAGGAGAAAUUCCAAAAACGCUCAGCAGCAGCAGUACACAUACAGUAUGGUAGAGCAACAAUAGCUGAAUUUAGAACAGACAAAGAGUGUCAGCCAUUUUGUGGGCUUUAAGUGUGCAUUUUAAAACAGAGGAUAAUUACAGUUGAAGGCAAAAGUUGCACCCUGCAAAGUUUCUAGCUGGAAGGAAAAUUGAAUGAAGAAGCAAAAAUCUAAUUAAAUAAUUUUGAAAUGUAAUGUGGGUCUCAUGCAAUCAGGCAAAAUCUACAGAAAAGUAGCAUCCAUCCAUCUGCUAUACUGCUUAUCCUUCAGGGUCACAGGAAUCUUGGAGCCUAUACCAGGGACCAUCGGGCACAAGGUGGGGUACACCCUGGUCAGGGUGCCAAUCCAUCAUAGGGCACAAUCACACACACCCAUUCAUACACUACGGACACUUUGGACAUGCCAAUCAGUCUACCAUGCAUGUCUUUGGACUGGGGGAGGAAACCGGAGUACAUGGAGGAAACCCCACAGCACGGGGAGAACAUCCAAACUCCACACACACAGGACAGCGGCUGGAAUCGAACCCCCAGCCCUGGAGGUGUGAAGUGAACGUGCUAACCACGUUUAGAAAGGGUGAUGAAAACAUUUGAAGUGAUAUAUUUAUUUUCUCACAAUAUAUAAAAACAUAUGCUAUUUAACUAUUUUUGUUGUUAACUAUAAUGUAGGAACAUCUGUAAAGCCUAACAUUUUGCCCAGAACUUAUACAAACAUUUGCACUCAUCUAUGAGGUUAGUGUACAGACCUUUUAAAUGUAACAGGAAGCAGAGUUUUAUGCUCAUGAUCUGAGUUUAUGUUUUACAUUUGUGUCUUAACAUUUCU